This 116-nucleotide ribosomal RNA is filed under the name Pteropus alecto (black flying fox). Lineage: Eukaryota; Metazoa; Chordata; Mammalia; Chiroptera; Pteropodidae. The record is from RNAcentral.
GUCUACGGCCAUGCCACCGUGAACGAGCCCAAUGUCUGAUCUCGGAAGCUAAGCAGGAUUGGGCCUGGUUAGUACUUAGAUGAGAAACCACCUAGGAAGGCCAGGUGCUGUAGGCA